This 199-nucleotide long non-coding RNA is filed under the name Vigna radiata. Its description in RNAcentral is "long non-coding RNA (VRAD_LNC010842)". Lineage: Eukaryota; Viridiplantae; Streptophyta; Magnoliopsida; Fabales; Fabaceae. The record is from RNAcentral.
GAAUAUGUAGUUAGAAACUUUCGAUACAUUUCUUAAAUAUAACCUCCCACGAUCUUAUGUUUUAAAGAUACAUUAUAAUUAUUGAAUAUUGUUCUUAAAAGUGUAAUAUUCAUGUAUAUAUAAUUGAAAAAUACAUGAUAACUAAAUUGAUAUCAAUUUGAAAAUAUGUUAAAUAAUUUGGAGAGAUACAUAUUAAAUC